CACCUCCCAUCUUUUAAACUCUUAACAUCUAAAUUUAUUCUGUUUUUUCCUCACAUAUAACUAGCAUGAUUUUUUAUUAUCCUUAUAACACUAAUCCUUUUACCUUUUAGAUCUCAUCUCUUUAUGUCUAUACUCCCAGUUUCCAUUUCUCCCCAUUAUCACUACCUUUUCAAAAUUCUAUAAUCCAGUAAUUUAGGAAGUUUCUGAAGCUUAUGAAACAGGCCAUACUCUCUGCCUUCUAUGCCGAAGUGUGUGCAAGAGUGGUUUUUCUACCCUUUGACUUGCUAACUCUUGUUCAUGUUCCCAAGUUUAUUUCAGACAAUAUCUCCUAGAAUCUUUUCCUCUGAGCUGCUUAUUCUAGAUCUUUCGACAGAGGACCUCACCCCUUUCAUCUUUGUAUCCUGGAUACCUACUUAGCAUGCUGUUUGGCAAACGGAAUGUCAACUAAGGUAUCCAAAAGUGGGAACUCUGUGGGGACUUGCCAACAGGGUGUUGCCUCAAACUUAGAAAAUCAAGAACUUUUACCUUGGAAAAUCACAAGGCAAGUACAUUACCAUGGUUCUUUUGUGAGUGACAGCCAAAAUUCUAAAGGAAGCAGAGGUCAUUUUCUGACCCAAGAAAACCUCAGGGAUAAAGUCCCAUGAAGGAAAAACCCUUCCAUGGUACUUGAUUCAAAGAAGUUCAAGGUUCAUCUUGCAUCUAACAUAGAACAAACCUCUCCAUUGUUUGACAUAAUAGGCCCAAGUAGCCAUGUGGGUGAGCCUUUGGACCAACACCCCUGUGUGUGGUGAGUGUAAGACCACUUACCCUUGGAAAACACAGUUUGUCAUUUGUACGUAUAAGAAGACCCUUGCAAAAGUGAAAAGGGGUACCGAACACUUCCUUAAGAAAAGUUCAGAUUUUGAAAGAAAUGAGAAAACCCACAUAGUUGAUGCACAGUGUUAAAGUAUUCAGUGUGGUAACGCCUUCAGUUUGAAUCAACAGAAUGAUCACAGAAAACAUGAGAGAGAAAUCUCAUAGAUGUAAUGACUGUGGAAAAGACUUCAGUGGAAGAUCAAAACUAAAUCUACAUAACAUGACCCACGCAGGAGAGAAAACUUAUAUUAUGUGUGUGGUAAGGGAUGCAGUGAUUGUACACAUCUUCACGUUCAUCAGAGAAUCUAUACAGGAGGAAAGCCCUAUAAAUGUAAUGAGUGUGGUGAGGACUUCACUACAAGUUCAGAUCUAGGCACACAGGAGAGAGGCCAUGUAGUGUGAUGAGUAUGGCAAAGGCUUCAUUGCAAGUUCAAAACCCCUCAUUCACCUGAGAGUCCAUGCAGGACAGAAACCAUAUAAAUGUCAACAGAGUGGUAAGAGCUUCCCUGGAGGCUCAUAUCUGUGUAGGCUCAGAUCUGUGUAUCCAUCAAAAAGAGCACACAGGACAGAGACCUUACUAAUGCAGGGCUUGUGGAAAGGACUUUAGUAGGGGUUCUGAACUCCACAUUCAUCAGAGAAUCCAUAUGGGAGAGAAGCCCUAUAAAUGUAAACAGCAUGGUAAAGAUUUCAGUAGGAGCACCCCAAAUUUCAUAUUCACCAGAGAGUCCACAUGAGGGGAGUGUGAUAAAGGCUUCAGUCUCAACACAGACCUUUGUGCUCAUCAGAGUCCACACCACAGAGAGACCAUUUAAAUCUGAAUAGUGUGGUAAAGGCUUUAGCCUUAGCAUAUAUCUCAGAGUCCAUCAGAGAGUCACACUGUGGGGAGAGCCUACAAACAUAAUAAAUAUGAGGAGGAUUUCACUCAGAUCUCAAAACUUGAUAUUCAUCAGAGAAUCCACAGGAAAGAAAAACUACACAGAAUAUGAGUCUAAUUUUAACUUAAGUCAGAAGAGAAAUCUUAGGUAUAUCAGAGUACACAUUGAUCCAGAAGGAAAACUGUAAUCAAUGCAAUGACGACAUUAGAGUGCACGUUUCAAAUAUGAGAAGAACCAUGGAAUUAAAAUCCGAAUUAGUGAGAAAACUGUAAGAAAUAUUUUGGGCAGAGUUCAAAACUUAACACACAGGGUUAGUUGUAUCUAGGAAAUAAAUUCUGAAAAUACUCUAAAUGAAAUAUAUGUAUACAUAUCCACACAUAUGUAUCUGUGUACACACGCAGACAUCCAUGUGUGUGAGAGAUCUAGAGUGAGGACUUAGAUUUUAAGUUUUGUAUUUGUCAAAAUUACAUAAUUUGUAACACUCUUAUACCAUACCGUUUAUAUAAAUUUAUAAAUAGUAACAGAAAGCAGAUCAGUGAUUAACUGGAGUUAAGGAAUGGGACAAGCAUGAGUAAAAGGAAGGGAUUAUUAAG
Delphinapterus leucas (beluga whale) is the source of this 2323-nucleotide non-coding RNA. NCBI's taxonomy places the organism in Eukaryota, Metazoa, Chordata, Mammalia, Artiodactyla, Monodontidae. The record is from RefSeq and is a predicted model, not a curated record.